UGGAGGGCAAAUAGGAGUGGCGAGCAUGACAUGCUGUGACAGAAAUUAACUUAAUUUCUAAACAAUUAUUUUGUGUUUAGCCAAAAGAAAAAAAAAGGGCAAAUAAUGUACAUUUUUUAAUGUGAGAUUAGUUUGGAGUUGGUCUUGGAGGUGAUCCAGUGAGGCGCAUUUCAACAAAUCAUGGUGUUUUUCCGACCAAAAGAGGAGGCAACGAAUAAAUUAAUGAACUCAAACUAAAACACCAAGGCCAAAAAAAAAAAAAAACUCAAAAUAGAAAACAGAAGACACAAUCACAUGAUAAAAGUAAACAGAGACAGAGAGAGAAAGAACAAAGGGUGUUUUCUAAGUUGUUUUGUUGCAGUUAGCUGCGCGAGAACCGUGUGUUCGGGUCGGGUCUUGAGAAGUUGAUUGUUAGGUUCUCUCUGAUCACUGUGCUGCGUCCAUUGAAGAGAAGAGAGGAAAAAUGGGUUGGAUUCCCUGUUCUGGAUAUUCAGGCACUAAGAAUAAGAUUGAGAAGAUGGAAGUUCAAGACAGUCUUGUUGGUCAGAUCAAAGCUACCCCAGGAAAGUUGAAGAGGAAUUCAUCAAAAAAUUCAAAAGAUGCAUCUAAAAAUGGGAACCCUGAUCACAUUGCAGCACAGACAUUCUCAUUCCGUGAGUUGGCAACUGCAACUAGAAAUUUUAGAGCUGAAUGUCUUUUGGGAGAAGGAGGCUUUGGUAGAGUAUACAAAGGGCGUUUGGAAAGCAUUAAUCAGGUUGUUGCAAUUAAGCAACUUGACCGAAAUGGACUGCAAGGGAAUAGGGAAUUCCUUGUUGAAGUGUUGAUGUUAAGUCUACUUCACCAUCCUAACCUUGUAAACCUUAUUGGUUAUUGUGCUGAUGGAGAUCAAAGGCUUCUAGUUUAUGAAUAUAUGUCAUUAGGAUCCUUGGAAGACCACUUGCAUGAUAUUCCUCCUGGCAAGAAACGACUGGACUGGAACACGCGAAUGAAAAUUGCUGCUGGGGCAGCAAAGGGUUUGGAAUAUCUUCAUGAUAAAGCUAAUCCUCCUGUCAUCUACCGCGAUCUAAAGUGCUCCAACAUUUUGCUUGGUGAAGGGUAUCACCCUAAGUUAUCUGAUUUUGGUUUGGCUAAACUUGGCCCAGUUGGGGAAAACACCCAUGUAUCAACAAGGGUUAUGGGCACCUAUGGAUAUUGUGCUCCAGAGUAUGCAAUGACUGGUCAAUUGACUCUAAAAUCGGAUGUUUAUAGCUUUGGUGUAGUUCUUCUGGAAAUAAUUACUGGAAGGAAAGCAAUUGACAAUUCAAAAUCAGCAGGAGAGCAGAAUCUUGUUGCCUGGGUAAGAGACUCCUACGGUUAUCUCAUUUCCUGGGGUUGGCUCAUGAUUUAGCACAGCACACCAACCCUUAGACCAAUCUAUGAAUGCUCUUGGUUAAAUGGCAUACACAUCAGUGUGGGCUAGACCCUUGUUUAAGGACAGAAGAAAGUUUUCACAAAUGGCUGAUCCAAUGCUCCAAGGUCAAUAUCCUCCAAGAGGGCUAUACCAGGCCCUUGCUGUUGCAGCAAUGUGCGUUCAGGAGCAAGCUAACAUGCGUCCAGUUAUAGCUGAUGUUGUCACAGCUUUGUCUUACCUUGCUUCACAAAGAUAUGAUCCCAGUACACACUCAGUCCAAAGCUCUCGUCUCGCUCCUGCUACUCCUCCUAGAACCAGGAGAAGGCAAUGAUAUUUAUAAAAAUGCAAGUUUUGAGUUUAACUAAAUCUUAUAUAAUCUGUAAGACGAGAGAUGUUCUCCACUUAUUUACUCUAUUUUGAUUAUAAUUCUACUUGAUAUGAGAUCUCCGAUAAUAUGGAGCUCAAUGUUCGGUGGAUAUAACAUAAUCCAAAGAUAAAUUCAAAUAUAUUAUUUAA
Molecule: RNA transcript, 1906 nt
Organism: Cajanus cajan (pigeon pea)
Lineage: Eukaryota; Viridiplantae; Streptophyta; Magnoliopsida; Fabales; Fabaceae
Gene: CDL1
Gene name: Protein kinase superfamily protein
Source: RefSeq, a predicted model, not a curated record